CGAAGCGUGCGAUUGGAUUGCACGUCUAAGCAGUAAGGCUGAGUAUUAGGCAAAUCCGGUACUCGUUAAGGCUGAGCUGUGAUGGGGAGAAGACAUUGUGUCUUCGAGUCGUUGAUUUCACACUGCCGAGAAAAGCCUCUAGAUAGAAAAUAGGUGCCCGUACCGCAAACCGACACAGGUAGUCAAGAUGAGAAUUCUAAGGUGAGCGAGCGAACUCUCGUUAAGGAACUCGGCAAAAUGACCCCGUAACUUCGGGAGAAGGGGUGCUCUUUAGGGUUAACGCCCAGAAGAGCCGCAGUGAAUAGGCCCAAGCGACUGUUUAUCAAAAACACAGGUCUCUGCUAAACCGUAAGGUGAUGUAUAGGGGCUGACGCCUGCCCGGUGCUGGAAGGUUAAGAGGAGUGGUUAGCUUCUGCGAAGCUACGAAUCGAAGCCCCAGUAAACGGCGGCCGUAACUAUAACGGUCCUAAGGUAGCGAAAUUCCUUGUCGGGUAAGUUCCGACCCGCACGAAAGGCGUAACGAUUUGGGCACUGUCUCAACGAGAGACUCGGUGAAAUCAUAGUACCUGUGAAGAUGCAGGUUACCCGCGACAGGACGGAAAGACCCCGUGGAGCUUUACUGUAGCCUGAUAUUGAAAUUCGGCACAGCUUGUACAGGAUAGGUAGGAGCCUUUGAAACGUGAGCGCUAGCUUACGUGGAGGCGCUGGUGGGAUACUACCCUAGCUGUGUUGGCUUUCUAACCCGCACCACUUAUCGUGGUGGGAGACAGUGUCAGGCGGGCAGUUUGACUGGGGCGGUCGCCUCCUAAAAGGUAACGGAGGCGCUCAAAGGUUCCCUCAGAAUGGUUGGAAAUCAUUCAUAGAGUGUAAAGGCAUAAGGGAGCUUGACUGCGAGACCUACAAGUCGAGCAGGGUCGAAAGACGGACUUAGUGAUCCGGUGGUUCCGCAUGGAAGGGCCAUCGCUCAACGGAUAAAAGCUACCCCGGGGAUAACAGGCUUAUCUCCCCCAAGAGUUCACAUCGACGGGGAGGUUUGGCACCUCGAUGUCGGCUCAUCGCAUCCUGGGGCUGUAGUCGGUCCCAAGGGUUGGGCUGUUCGCCCAUUAAAGCGGUACGCGAGCUGGGUUCA
RNAcentral lists this ribosomal RNA (1129 nucleotides) under Staphylococcus aureus. RNAcentral describes it as "partial 23S ribosomal RNA". It matches the Rfam family "Bacterial large subunit ribosomal RNA", at positions 1487 to 2613 of the family's 2925-position model. The record is from RNAcentral. Lineage: Bacteria; Bacillati; Bacillota; Bacilli; Caryophanales; Staphylococcaceae.